RNAcentral lists this ribosomal RNA (468 nucleotides) under uncultured bacterium. RNAcentral's name for it is "partial 16S ribosomal RNA". It matches the Rfam family "Bacterial small subunit ribosomal RNA", at positions 28 to 507 of the family's 1533-position model. The record is from RNAcentral.
GACGAACGCUGGCGGCGUGCUUAACACAUGCAAGUCGAACGGAAAGGCCCUGCUUUUGUGGGGUGCUCGAGUGGCGAACGGGUGAGUAACACGUGAGUAACCUGCCCUUGACUUUGGUAUAACUUCAGGAAACUGGGGCUAAUACCGGAUAGGAGCUCCUGCUGCAUGGUGGGUGUUGGAAAGUUUCGGCGGUGGGGGAUGGACUCGCGGCUUAUCAGCUUGUUGGUGGGGUAGUGGCUUACCAAGGCUUUGACGGGUAGCCGGCCUGAGAGGGUGACCGGCCACAUUGGGACUGAGAUACGGCCCAGACUCCUACGGGAGGCAGCAGUGGGGAAUAUUGCACAAUGGGCGGAAGCCUGAUGCAGCAACGCCGCGUGCGGGAUGACGGCCUUCGGGUUGUAAACCGCUUUCGCCUGUGACGAAGCGUGAGUGACGGUAAUGGGUAAAGAAGCACCGGCUAACUACGUG